RNAcentral lists this ribosomal RNA (460 nucleotides) under uncultured bacterium. Its description in RNAcentral is "partial 16S ribosomal RNA". It matches the Rfam family "Bacterial small subunit ribosomal RNA", at positions 338 to 795 of the family's 1533-position model. The record is from RNAcentral.
CCUACGUGAGGCAGCAGUGAGGAAUAUUGGUCAAUGGCCGGAAGGCUGAACCAGCCAUGCCGCGUGAAGGUCAGUGCCCUAUGGGCGUUAAACUUCUUUUGUGCGGGAGCAAUAAUGGUCACGUGUGGCCAGACGAGAGUACCGUACGAAUAAGCAUCGGCUAACUCCGUUCCAGCAGCCGCGGUAAUACGGGGGAUGCAAGCGUUAUCCGGAUUUAUUGGGUUUAAAGGGUGCGUAGACGGUGGGGUAAGUCAUCGUUGAAAUGCCCACGCUCAACGGGGUGAAGUCCCAUUGAUACUGCUUGGGUGGAGUGCGGAGGCGGUGGGAGGAAUGUGUGGUGUAGCGGGGAAGUGCAUAGAUAUCACACAGAACCCCGAUUGCGAAGGCAUCUCACGAAUCCGCGAUUGACGCUGAGGCACGAAGGCGUGGGUAUCAAACAGGAUUAGAUACCCGGGUAGUC